GCAUUGAUGAAGAACGUAGGUGUGAAUUGUAGAAUUCCAUGAACCAUCGAGUCAUUGAAUGCAAGUUGCACCCCAAGCUUGAGAAUUAGGAGCCCCCAGUGUCUAAAUUGUAGUUUGGAAAAGCAUCCUUAAUGGUAAAUUGAGCCAAAGUCCCCUGGGAAAGGGUGUCAGAGAGAGUGAGUCCCAUUGUGCCUAGACCCUACCACACCACGAGGUGUUGUUUACUAGCAUGGUUGUUUGGGAAUGCAACCCUAAUGUGGCAGUAAAUUUCAUCCAAGGUUGAAUACGAGCAAGAGAUUGAUAGCAAACAAGUACUGUGAGGGAAUGAUGAAAAGGACUUUGGAAGAGACUUAAAAAAUGCUUGAAAUUGUCAAGAGGGAAAUGGAUGGGAGUGACGAUGUGCCCUAGUUGGAUGUGGAAUGACAAGAGCUAAUCCAUCAAUCAACUUGGGAAAUAGACCAACGUAGGUCAUGGUAGCAACCCAACCUCGAGCUUUCAAUAUGCCCAUUGAAACAUCAUUACCAUAAUCAUGGAAUGCAGAACACACCAUCUCGAUCGAUGCUUGGUUGGCACUGAUGUGCUCCUUGCAUCAGCCUGCGAGCUCCUUAUUUGGCCUAUCAUGAAACACAAACCAAAGAGUUUGACAUGUAUGUGAAUGAAUGGGCUAGAAAACUCAUAAUGCAUAAAGAAGCUAAUUGGCAGGAUCCCUCAUGGCUACAGGAUCCCUCACAGGUGCACCAUCGAUCGACCUUGAUCUUCUGAGAAGGGUUCAAGUGUGAGCAUGCUUGUCAGGACCCUUAAGAUAGUGAACUAUGCUUAACUGAGGUGAAGCCAAAGGAAACUCUAGUGGAGGCCUACAGCAACACUGACAUGCAAAUCACUCAUUUGAUUUGCUUAUAGGGGUGAAAGACUAAUCAAACCAUAUAGAAGCUAGUUCCUUCUAAAGUUUCCCUCAGGAUAGCUAGAGCCCUUAGCAAAUUCUGUCAUGCAAAGCCAAUGAUUAGAGGCAUCGAAGGUGCAAUGCCCUUGACCUAUUCUCAAACUUUAAAUAGGUAGGAUGGCACGGCUGAUUUAUUGAGUCGCACCAUGUAAUCAAGAGCUCCAUGUGGGCCAUUUUUGUUAAGCAGAACUGGCAAUAUGUGAUAAACCAAAAGUCGAGUUAUAGUGCCUAACUGUGUGCUAACCUAUAACCCAUAAAGGGUGUUGGUCUAUUAAGAUAGCAAAAUGAUGGUCAUGGAAGUCAAAAUCAACUUAGGAAUGUGUAAAACUCACCUGCCGAAUUAGCUAGCCCUAAAAAUGGAUGGCAAUUAAAUGUGUAAGCUAUACUUGUUCAUCGGGGCAAGGGCUAGGCCUUGAUGAGUAGGAAGGCAUCGCGGUUGUUGCAAAACUCGAGUUGCAAGCUUGAAUGGAAUGACCGUUGGUGCAGAUCUUGAUUAUUGUAGCAAAUAUUUAAAUUAGAACUUUGAAGGCUAAAGAGGGGAAAGGUUCCAUGUGAAUGACACUUGCCCAUGGGUUAAUCGAUCCUAAAAGAUGGGUGAACCUAUCUGAUAGCGCAUCCAGUACAAGUUUCAAAAGGGACUUGGGUUAAAUUUCCUAAACUGAUAUGCAUCGACUAACUCUAGAAAUAGCUUAGCCAAAGGUAAGGUCUAAAAACCAGAAGAGCACUACAUGUCAUGUGGUGUCCAUUGCACCCCUAGCGGCCUUUGAAAAUCUAAAAGAUUGAGCAUCGUCUACACCCAGUUGUACUCAUAAUCGCAUCAGGUCUCCAAGGUGAAUAGCCUUUAGUUGAUGGAAUAAUGCAAGCAAGAGAAGCCGACAGAAUGGAUUCGUAAACUUAAUAAAAGGAUUUGCUCUAAGGGUUGGGCAUGGUGGUCCCAUUCCCAAACCCAUUGGCUAUUGGUGCAUUGCACAAACUACUCAUAUGAUGAACGUGGGUCAUCACAUGUUGGUUGGGGUUGAAUUGGGAAAGACUCCCUCAGUGGCCUUCCCUCGGCGAUGAACAGUCAACUUAGAACUAGUACGGACAAGGGAAAUUUGACUAUUUAAUUGAAACAAGGCAUUGUGAUGGUCCCUAGGGAUGUUCAUGUAAUGUGAUUUCUGCCCAGUGCUUUGAAUGUCAAAGUGAAGAAAUUCAAUCAAGUGCGAGUAAAUAGCUAGAGUAACUUUGACUCUCUUAAGAUAGCCAAAUGCCUUGUCAUCUAAUUAGUGACAGGCAUGAAUGGAUUAAUGAGAUUUCCACUAUCCCAGUCUACUAUUCAGCUCAACCAUUGCCAAGGGAACAGGCUUGGUGGAAUCAAUAGGGAAAGAAGACCCUAUUGAACUUGACUCUAGUUUGACUUUAUGAAAUGACUUGAAAGGUGUAAGAUAAGUGGAAGCCCUUGGACAAAAUUGAAAUACCGCUACUUUUAAUGUUAUUUUACUUCAUUCAUGAAUCAGAGGCAGGGCAUGACCUUUUUUUCGGACCUAAGGCCAGCUUCGAUCUGUUGAUUCAAGCAAAAAACAUUGUCAGGUUGGGAGUUUGGCUGGGGGUAGCACAUCUAUUAAAAGAUAACAUAGCCCUCUGAGUGCUAGGUAGAAUCCUUUG
This 2584-nucleotide ribosomal RNA is filed under the name Durio zibethinus. Its description in RNAcentral is "eukaryotic LSU rRNA". It matches the Rfam family "Eukaryotic large subunit ribosomal RNA", at positions 1 to 2700 of the family's 3401-position model. The record is from RNAcentral. Lineage: Eukaryota; Viridiplantae; Streptophyta; Magnoliopsida; Malvales; Malvaceae.